GAUGAAGAACGUAGCGAAAUGCGAUAAGUAAUGUGAAUUGCAGAAUCCAGUGAAUCAUCGAAUCUUUGAACGCACAUUGCGCCCGCCAGCAUUCUGGCGGGCAUGCCUGUUCGAGCGUCAUUUCAACCCUCGACCUCCCUUUGGGGAAGUCGGCGUUGGGGACCGGCAGCACACCGCCGGCCCUGAAAUGGAGUGGCGGCCCGUCCGCGGCGACCUCUGCGUAGUAAACCAACUCGCACCGGAACCCCGACGUGGCCACGCCGUAAAACACCCAACUUCUGAACGUUGACCUCGAAUCAGGUAGGACUGCCCGCUGAACUUAAGCAUAUCAAUAAGCGGAGGA
This 343-nucleotide unclassified non-coding RNA is filed under the name soil metagenome. RNAcentral describes it as "partial contains 5.8S ribosomal RNA, internal transcribed spacer 2, and large subunit ribosomal RNA". The stretch from base 1 to 120 matches the Rfam family "5.8S ribosomal RNA", at positions 35 to 154 of the family's 154-position model. The record is from RNAcentral.